This 165-nucleotide ribosomal RNA is filed under the name uncultured bacterium. Its description in RNAcentral is "partial 16S ribosomal RNA". It matches the Rfam family "Bacterial small subunit ribosomal RNA", at positions 1334 to 1500 of the family's 1533-position model. The record is from RNAcentral.
GCUAGUAAUGGCAGGUCAGCAUACUGCCGUGAAUACGUUCCCGGGCCUUGUACACACCGCCCGUCACACCAUGAGAGUUGGGAAUACCCGAAGCCUGUGAGCUAACGCAAGAGGCAGCAGUCGAAGGUAGAAUCAAUGAUUGGGGUGAAGUCGUAACAAGGUAGC